GUGGGGAAUCUUGCGCAAUGGAGGCAACUCUGACGCAGCCAUGCCGCGUGCAGGAAGAAGGCGCUACGCGUUGUAAACUGCUUUUAACCGGGAAGAAACCCCAGGACGUGUCCUGGGUUGACGGUACCGGAGGAAUAAGCACCGGCUAACUUCGUGCCAGCAGCCGCGGUAAUACGAAGGGUGCAAGCGUUAUCCGGAUUCAUUGGGUUUAAAGGGUGCGUAGGCGGAGCGUUAAGUCAGUGGUGAAAUCCUGCAGCUUAACUGUAGACUUGCCAUUGAUACUGGCGCUCUUGAGUGCGCUUGAAGUGGGCGGAAUGUGCCGUGUAGCGGUGAAAUGCUUAGAUAUGGCACAGAACACCAAUUGCGAAGGCAGCUCACUAAGGCGAUACUGACGCUGAGGCACGAAAGCGUGGGGAUCGAACAGGAUUAGAAACCCGGGUAGUCC
This 445-nucleotide ribosomal RNA is filed under the name uncultured bacterium. Its description in RNAcentral is "partial 16S ribosomal RNA". It matches the Rfam family "Bacterial small subunit ribosomal RNA", at positions 354 to 796 of the family's 1533-position model. The record is from RNAcentral.